Molecule: RNA transcript, 3024 nt
Organism: Tympanuchus pallidicinctus (lesser prairie-chicken)
Lineage: Eukaryota; Metazoa; Chordata; Aves; Galliformes; Phasianidae
Gene name: solute carrier family 22 member 13-like
Exons: 11
Source: RefSeq, a predicted model, not a curated record
GGGAAAGUCUGUCCCAGCUCUGUCCUCUUCCAGACUCAGCUCACAAUGUCGGGCAUUGGGGAAAAUCUGAAAGCAGCUGGUGAAUUUGGGCCGUUUCAGAGACGGCUGGUGCUGUUCUCUUUGUUUCCGUGCCUCAGCCUGGCCUUCCAUCAGUUCUGCCAGCUUUUUAUGGUUGUGGACGUGCCUCAUUACUGCAACACGGACUGGAUCCGUGCUGUCGGCCCCAACCUGACAGAGGAAGAGCAGCUGAACCUCACCCUGCCCCGGGAUGCGAAUGGGGACUACGAGCAGUGCAUCAUGUACUCGCCUGUGGACUGGGACCUCGACUCCAUCGUGGCAUAUGGCCUGAAUGCCACAGAGAAGUGCAGCAAUGGCUGGGUGUACCCCACAACACAGCCACCAUCCCUGCUCACUGAGUUUGAUCUCGUGUGUGACAGGAAGAACCUGAAUGACAUCUCACAGUCCGUCUAUAUGCUGGGAAUGUUCCUGGGAGCCAUGAUCUUUGGACUCUUCAGUGACAGGUUUGGCCGUCGGCCAGCCCUCUUGAUCUCCAUCCUCCUCGAGGGUUUGUUUGGUGUAGCAAUUGCCAUUGUGCCUCAUUUCUAUGUAUACUUGGCCUUCAGAUGUGUCGUGGGGGCUUCAGUGUCAGGGAUCAUGAUGACCUUGCUGGCCCUAGUUACAGAAUGGGUUGGUGUCUCCUAUCGACCACAGGCAGUUCUUCUUUCUCACUGCUGUUUUGCUAUUGGACAAAUGAUUUUGGCUGGCUUGAGUUACGGUAUCCCAAACUGGAGGUUGCUGCAAACUGUAGGAUCUGCUCCUAUAUUUAUCCUUUUCCUCUUCAUCUGGGUGCUACCAGAGUCAGCUCGCUGGCUGGUGACAAAAGGCAAAAUAGAAGAAGCUAAGAAGUACCUUAAGAAGGCAGCAUCCAUCAACAAACGCACCAUUCCUCCAGAACUGCUGGACCAGCUGAAGGGUGAGACCCAGACCAAGUCUGGAAGUAUUCUGGAUCUCCUUCGGAAGAAGCACCUCCUGAAGGUGACUUUAGUCAUGUCGUGUGCCUGGUUUGUUAACAGCCUGGUAUACUACGGUUUGAGUAUGAAUGUAACUAAUUUUGGCCUGGACAUCUACCUGACACAGCUUGCAUUUGGAGCAGUGGAAAUCCCAGCCCGUGCUGGUUGUAUCUUCAUACUACAGUGGUUUGGGAGGAAGAAAUCCCAGGGUGGUCUCCUUCUGCUAAGUGGCCUCGUGUGUCUGAUACUCACUGUCAUCCCUGAAGAUCAGCCUGUGGUGAUCACCGUCCUGGCCACCAUUGGCAAGUUUACAGCCUCGGCCUCAUUUUCAUCGUCCUACAUCUAUACUGCAGAACUCUUCCCCACCAUCAUCAGGCAGAGCGGCGUGAGUCUGUGCUCAAUGGUGGCACGGGUGGCAGGGAUCAUCGCCCCGCUGAUCCUCAUCCUGGAGCAGUACCACAGUGCCAUCCCCAUGGCCAUCUACGGUGGCACCACCGUGCUGGGGGGGCUGCUCUGCUUCCUGCUGCCUGAGACCCGUGGUGUCGAACUGGCAGAUGGCACAGAGGGAGGCCAGCCCACAGCAGUGGCAGAGCGGCGUGAGUCUGUGCUCAGUGGUGGCACGGGUGGCAGGGAUCAUCGCCCCGCUGAUCCUCAUCCUGGAGCAGUACCACAGUGCCAUCCCCAUGGCCAUCUACGGUGGUACCACCGUGCUGGGGGGGCUGCUCUGCUUCCUGCUGCCUGAGACCCGUGGUGUCGGACUGGCAGAUGGCACAGAGGGAGGCCAGCCCACAGCAGUGAAAACUGCACCUGGUUAGUGUGAAGACCACUGGAUGUGUUGUUCUUGGCUGAGGAGCACCUGAGCAGUUUGACUGACGAUGUUUUGCACAGCUCAUCAGGACUUGGAAACUGUCCAUUGGUAUUGCUGUGUUUAAUGACAUUGUUAGCUGGUCUACGUGUUGUUCUGCACAGUAACAAAUGGAGUUGAUAGAGCAAACUCAAGUUAGAAUAGCUUCAGCGAAUACAGCACACUUUUGCAUCCAUAUAAUGGAAUGUUGUGGCCUCCCAUGAUAGUGAGGUCAUGGUCAAAAGGCAAAAAGGGCCUGAUGUGAUCUGAAGGGCUAAGUAAGGGAAACAGGAUGACCCCAUAUCCAAGUGUAGGGAGUGGGAAGGCUCUGGGAGAGGUAGGGACAAAAAUCACAGUGGAACAGGUUGCCCAAGGAGGCUGUGGAUGCCCCAUCCCUGCAGGCAUUCAAGGCCAGGCUGGAUGUGGCUCUGGGCAGCCUGGUCUGGUGGCUGGUGACCCUGCACACUGCAGGGGGUUGGUCCCUUUCAACCCAGGCCAUUCUGUGAUUCCAUGAUUCUUUGAAGUCGGAGCAGCAGAUGCAAGGCCUUGGUGGAAGAGUUUAUGACACCAUGAUGGGAGGGCCAACUGUGGGAAGGUGCUGAUGGUAAUGAUGAACAAAUGCCAUGGACCCUGUGAGUGGCCGAAGAGUGUGCUAAGAUCAAUGAAUGUGCAAUUUCGGGAGAUCUUGUGAGCCUCCAAACAUGCUUGGCCUCGACUUCUUGACACCUCAUCCCUCAGAAACAAAAUGCUCGGAUGCAUUUUGCUGAGUGGCCAAGAAGAUCCUGGGAGCAAGACUAGCGUUGUGCUGGGAGAGACAGCUUAAUGAAAAGGCAUGAGCUCACAGAAUGGCUUGGGUUGGAAGGGACCUUAAAGAUCAUCUCUGACUGUAACUAGGCAGAGUAAGACUAAAAGCCACCCUCCUGCUUCCUUUGUGGGACAGCAGAUGCCACUAAAGGUUGUGGUUGACCUGGCAGUAGCCAAAUGGGGCCUUCAUUAGCAGCUGACCAUGACGGAGGUAAAGCAUCCAUCUGUCCACUCAGCUUAUCUCACAUUCAAUCACAUGUACAAGCACAGCUCAGGAAGCUUCCGCAGCUGCUCAUCAAGAAAAAUAUAUAAACAUGGAUUGUUCAUCAGAAGGCUCAGAAAUAAAAAAUGUCCUAAUUGAACCCA